AUAUUACUCUCUCCGUCCCAAAUUUUUUUGUCUUAGAUUUGUCUAGAUACGGAUGUAUCUAAUACUAAAAUGUGACUUGAUACAUUCGUAUUUAGUCUAAGACAAGAAUUUUGGGACGGAGGGAGUAUGUA
This is a non-coding RNA of Triticum aestivum (bread wheat), 131 nucleotides long. Lineage: Eukaryota; Viridiplantae; Streptophyta; Magnoliopsida; Poales; Poaceae. The record is from Rfam.